AAACAAUACAAAAAAU
This 16-nucleotide small RNA is filed under the name Arabidopsis thaliana (thale cress). Its description in RNAcentral is "ATSL308000". The record is from RNAcentral. Lineage: Eukaryota; Viridiplantae; Streptophyta; Magnoliopsida; Brassicales; Brassicaceae.